GCAGCUGUAGCUCAGACGGUUAGAGCGCCGGUUUGAAAGUCCGGAGGUCACUUGUUCAACUCAAGUUGGCUGCA
Molecule: transfer RNA, 74 nt
Filed under: Salmonella phage Arash
Lineage: Duplodnaviria; Heunggongvirae; Uroviricota; Caudoviricetes
Rfam family: tRNA
About the family: Transfer RNA (tRNA) molecules are approximately 80 nucleotides in length.
Source: Rfam by way of RNAcentral